CUGAGGUGUGGAGGGACGGGCUUGCUUACCCCGGACGAUGCUGACAGUGUGGGCCCAGCCCGGUCCCACAGCCACCAGGAGGAGGCUCCUGAGUGGGCAGGCGCCGAGGUGCAGCGCAGAGAACGCCUGGGACCCUGGCAUAGACUCCUCAGGAAGGAAACAGAGAAAGGUCCACAGAGACUCAAGCAGCACAGAAGAAGGUCACCCACAAGUUAAAAAUAGAUGUUUGUGCUCUAUCGUCCCAGCGUGCUAAACAUCCAGCUCGCUCACACGCACGGCCUGACGUGAGCCCGGCCUCCUUCAGCAUUGGGCUAAGCGAGAGAGGCACCUGCCCCUCUCCCGACAAUAGCAGGCUCGGCAGCUAUUCUUCAAUGUACUUGACACCCCUCCGUGAGGAUUAAGCUACACUCUGUCGACACUGGGUACACUGGCCCAUACGGUCUAGUUUACCUGCUGAUAAUGCCUUGGAAAGACCACCAGGGGGCCCCACACCAUUUUCGGCUUCAUAGGGAUGUGAAUUUCCCUUUGAUGACAAAGGUAAUGGGGAAAUAAAACAAGGAUCCAAAACA
Non-coding RNA from Macaca mulatta (Rhesus monkey), 569 nucleotides. The record is from RefSeq and is a predicted model, not a curated record. Lineage: Eukaryota; Metazoa; Chordata; Mammalia; Primates; Cercopithecidae.